CCUACGGGAGGCAGCAGUGGGGAAUAGUGGGCAAUGGAGGCAACUCUGACCCAGCAAUGCCGCGUGAGUGAUGAAGGUAAUGUGAUUGUAAAGCUCUUUUCUUGGGAACGAAGAAAGGACGGGACCAAAGGAAUAAGCCCCGGCUAACUACGUGCCAGCAGCCGCGGUAAUACGUAGGGGGCAAGCGUUGUGCGGAAUGACGGGGCGUAAAGGGUGGGUAGGUGGUUUGCUCAGUUAGAUGUGUUAUACCCAGGGCUUAACUCGGGUGCUGCAUCUCAAACGGUUAGACUUGAGUACUGGAUAGGCUAGUGGAAUUCCUCGUGUCGCGGUUUCAUGCGUCGAUAUUA
RNAcentral lists this ribosomal RNA (347 nucleotides) under uncultured bacterium. RNAcentral describes it as "partial 16S ribosomal RNA". It matches the Rfam family "Bacterial small subunit ribosomal RNA", at positions 338 to 699 of the family's 1533-position model. The record is from RNAcentral.